Molecule: non-coding RNA, 195 nt
Organism: Brassica napus (rape)
Lineage: Eukaryota; Viridiplantae; Streptophyta; Magnoliopsida; Brassicales; Brassicaceae
Source: Rfam
AUACCUUUCUCGGCCUUUUGGCUAAGAUCAAGUGUAGUAUAUGUUCUUAUCAGUUUAAUAUCUGAUAUGUGGGCCAUCAACCUGUUCGAUAUUAACUCGAUAUUUUGAGGGAGGAAUCCUAACAAUAUAGCUUGCUAUAUGGGUUUUUAUGUGUUGCUCAUGCUUUGCACUACUGCAAGGGCCGGCUCAACCCAC